GCGGCUUAACCCACUGAGCCACCCAGGCGCCCCAAAUUUUUAUCACAUAUUUGCCAGUGGAGUUUUGAUUGCUUCCAAACAAGUAUGUGGCUUCUUUGAGUUCCACUGGGAACUGGCCCUUUUGCUAAGGAGGCAGUGUGGGUUGUUAUGUGGACCCUAGAGCUGGUCCUCUGGAGUUCAAUACAGGGCUUCACUUUUUAGCCACCUUGGGGAAAUUAUUUAACUCCUCUGUGCAGUUUUCUCAUCUGUAAAAUGAGUUAAUAGUACAAACUGAGGCAUGAAAAAAAUGCCUGGCACAAAUCACAUGAUAAACAUUAGCAACUAACCAUUACAUCAGUGCAUGUAAAUGUAUUUGGAGACGCAGUUCAGGGGUCGAGUAUGUGAAGGAGGACAGAGUUUUUCUCUCAGUGUCAAGGAAGAGACUAUCUUGGAGAGUUCAAGUAUUCAGAAAGCAGACCGAGCUGGAGUUGAAGCUACUGGGAAGGAAGGAGCUCAUGCUUAGACUCCUUGGGCCCUAACCAAAGCUAGCAUUCCUUUUUGCCUUAUUGGCUCCAUUUGCUUAAUGAUUUGAGCUGUAAUUCCUAGGGUGGAUGGAUGUCAUGUAUUUGGCCCCCCUCUCUUUCCCCACCACCCAAUCCCUUCGGCCUUGGCUUCUCUCUCUCUUUUUUUUUUAAAAAAAAAAAAAAAAAAGCUAGCUCCAGUAGAAAAUAGACCUUUAAAAGUUUACCUAUAUGGGAUUUGUUACAGAGUGAUUAGGGGGCCAGGAGGGGGAUGAGUGAGUAGGGGGUGGAUAUAAUUUAUGUAUAUAGAUCCAAAGAUUGGUCAUGAGGCUGCAUUAUAAGUACAUGGGAGUUUAUUACAACCUUUUUACUUCUGCAUAUGUUUGAAACUUUCAUAAGAAAAAAUAAAAAUUGAGCAAAAAAAGCAAGUUGCUUAACUGUAGUGUGAUGCCAUUUAUUUAAAGUUUUAAACCAUGCAAAGAAUAUAUAUUGUUUAUGCAUA
Long non-coding RNA from Mustela erminea (ermine), 1002 nucleotides. RefSeq lists it as uncharacterized. The record is from RefSeq and is a predicted model, not a curated record. Lineage: Eukaryota; Metazoa; Chordata; Mammalia; Carnivora; Mustelidae. The transcript has 3 exons.